CCCAGUCCCAAUCCCAAUCCGGUCCCAAUCCCAAACCCUAACCUCAAGUGGGUCACGCUCGCGGCGGCGGCGGCGGCUCGCCGGGGUCCGAGCCUCCGAGGGUGCGGCCCCGUCGUGGAGACGGCCUAACCGUUCGCAGCGCGGCGUGGUACCUGACCCUGCCCCCCGCCUCACCGGUCACGCCGCCGCACGCGGGCCACCGUCGCGCCGGGUCUUCACCGCCCCACAUGGCCCGUUCAGUUCCAGCCGGUUUUCGCCGCUCUCGGCAGCGGUGGUUCUUACCCUUUUCUGUUGUUAGCUCUGCCUGGUUCAGGCCUUGUGUAGUACUAAUAACCUAAACCUACUACUAUUUGUCUUAGGUGACCUGGUCAUAUGCUAGUUGCCUAUUGAGCGCGCGUGCUUUGCUGCUUCCGUGUGCUCCUCUCCCAAGGUCGAGGUACUUGGAUGAGUGAGUGAGUUCAUUGGCUUCCCCUUCAACUGUCCGAUCUCUGUCCGUCGUGACCCGCAAGUAUCUAAGUUUCAUAGCAGAAGAAGAUCAAACAGGCAUAGGCACAGCAAUAGCAAGUUGUACCACUGUGUUUGGUGGACGACCUUGUGGGCUCAGAUGUGAGCACGGCUUCUUGCUGACCGGGAACUCCUCUAUGAUGGCAUUGACCCGAUCUAGACGGCCCAGGUCCACGCCGCUACUCCUCGCUUGGCACCGCAGCUUUAGGGGAGAACUUUGCCACUUCCUGGUUUGGACAAGGAGAGUAGGAACAGUUUUUGACUGCCUGACAGACUCGGUACAAUUUGCUAAAAUUUGGUUAGGUCGAUGUGCCGAUGUGUGUGGGGAUUGACAUAUGAUGCCAUGCAAUUGUUUAGGGUGAAAGGGAGUUGAUUUUUAAAGGUUACCAGAACCAUGCUUUCCUUGCAGAAGCAACUCGGAUCAUGGUUUAGAAUGUGAACUAUGACAGAUAGUAGUGUAUCCUUGUUUUCUCGCCUGGGAAAUAUUUGUAUUGGUGGUUGGCUGCUGUUGUUCGCCUGCAAGCAAGCUUUGAUGUCCUGUUGUUAUAUUUGUCAUGUUUAGUCAUGAAUUUGUGAACUUGACGCAUAAUUGUCCUUUUUAUGUUGCGGCAAAACUUUCAAC
Molecule: ribosomal RNA, 1126 nt
Filed under: Triticum aestivum (bread wheat)
Lineage: Eukaryota; Viridiplantae; Streptophyta; Magnoliopsida; Poales; Poaceae
Description: partial small subunit ribosomal RNA
Source: RNAcentral